This 498-nucleotide ribosomal RNA is filed under the name uncultured Pleosporales. Its description in RNAcentral is "eukaryotic LSU rRNA". The stretch from base 149 to 302 matches the Rfam family "5.8S ribosomal RNA". The record is from RNAcentral. Lineage: Eukaryota; Fungi; Ascomycota; Dothideomycetes; Pleosporales. RNAcentral also lists the same sequence under 1 other name.
GAAGGAUCAUUACUGUAUGGGCUAUCCCAUCGAGAUGAUACCCUUUGUCUAUAAGUACUUGUUGUUUCCUCGGCAGGCUUGCCUGCCAAUGGGGACCAUUUUCAACCCUUUGCAAUAGCAGUAGCCUCUGAUACUAGUAAUUAUUUACAACUUUCAACAACGGAUCUCUUGGUUCUGGCAUCGAUGAAGAACGCAGCGAAAUGCGAUAAGUAGUGUGAAUUGCAGAAUUUAGUGAAUCAUCGAAUCUUUGAACGCACAUUGCGCCUCUUGGUAUUCCAUGAGGCAUGCCUGUUCGAGCGUCAUUAGAACACUCAAGCUCUGCUUGGUGUUGGGUGUCUGUCCCGCCUCUUGUGCGUGGACUCGCCUUAAAGUCAUUGGCAGCCGCUCUUGUAGGCCUGGAAGCGCAGCAAAGUCCGCGCGGUAGGCUGUCAUGGUGGCGUCCAACAAGCUCUUCUUACACUUGACCUCGGAUCAGGUAGGGAUACCCGCUGAACUUAA